RNAcentral lists this ribosomal RNA (432 nucleotides) under uncultured bacterium. Its description in RNAcentral is "partial 16S ribosomal RNA". It matches the Rfam family "Bacterial small subunit ribosomal RNA", at positions 29 to 507 of the family's 1533-position model. The record is from RNAcentral.
AACGAACGCUGGCGGCAUGCCUAACACAUGCAAGUCGAACGAGACCUUCGGGUCUAGUGGCGCACGGGUGCGUAACGCGUGGGAACCUGCCCUUAGGUUCGGAAUAACUCCCCGAAAGGGGUGCUAAUACCGGAUAAUGUCUUCGGACCAAAGAUUUAUCGCCUUUGGAUGGGCCCGCGUUGGAUUAGCUAGUUGGUAGGGUAAAGCCUACCAAGGCGACGAUCCAUAGCUGGUCUGAGAGGAUGAUCAGCCACACUGGGACUGAGACACGGCCCAGACUCCUACGGGAGGCAGCAGUGGGGAAUAUUGGACAAUGGGCGAAAGCCUGAUCCAGCAAUGCCGCGUGAGUGAUGAAGGCCUUAGGGUUGUAAAGCUCUUUUACCCGGGAUGAUAAUGACAGUACCGAGAGAAUAAGCUCCGGCUAACUCCGUG